Molecule: RNA transcript, 5154 nt
Organism: Anas platyrhynchos (mallard)
Lineage: Eukaryota; Metazoa; Chordata; Aves; Anseriformes; Anatidae
Gene: RTEL1
Gene name: regulator of telomere elongation helicase 1
Source: RefSeq, a predicted model, not a curated record
GGCAGCGCCCCCCCCCCCACAAGGCCCCGUUCCCAUGGCAACGGCGCAGGCCGGGCGGUGGCGCCCCGCCGGAAGUGGCGUAAGGACGCACGGGCCGGAAGUGGAGCCGUGAGGCAGGCGCGGGGAUUCCGAACGGCGGAGCGGGGGGCCCCCCCCUUCGGUGAGGAUGCCCAGGAUCACGCUGAACGGCGUCCCGGUGGAUUUCCCCUUCCAGCCGUACAAGUGCCAGGAGGUGUACAUGACCAAGGUGCUGGAGUGCCUGCAGAAGAAAGUAAAUGGCAUUCUGGAGAGCCCUACGGGCACAGGAAAGACCCUCUGCCUGCUGUGUUCCACCCUGGCCUGGCGGGAGCACUUUAAAGAUACUAUCUCAGCCCGCAAAAUUGCCCAGCGUAUGAAUGGAGUCGAGCUCUUUCCUGACAGGCCCAUGUCAUCCUGGGGUAACGCUACCACGGAUGCUGAUGUUCCAGCUUAUUACACGGACAUUCCUAAAAUAAUUUAUGCAUCCAGAACGCACUCACAACUUACGCAGGUCAUUAAUGAAUUAAAGAACACAGUCUACAGGCCAAAGGUAUGUGUUUUGGGUUCCAGAGAGCAGCUUUGCAUCAAUAGUGAAGUGAAACGACAAGAGAGCAACCACGUGCAGAUCUAUAUGUGCCGAAUGAAAGUGAUGACUCGUUCUUGUCAUUUUUAUAACAACGUAGAAGAAAAGAGUACAGAGAAAGAACUGGUCAACUCAAUCAUGGAUAUUGAAGACUUGAUUAAAAAUGGAAACAAACAUAGAGCUUGUCCUUAUUAUCUCUCUCGAAGCCUGAAGCAGCAGGCGGAUAUUAUUUUUAUGCCUUACAACUAUUUACUAGACUCAAAGAGCCGGAGAGCACACAACUUAGACCUGAAGGGGACCGUGGUAAUACUUGAUGAAGCUCACAAUGUGGAAAAGUUGUGUGAAGAGUCAUCUUCUUUUGACUUGACAGCCUACGAUUUGGCUUCAGCAAUUGAUACUUUAAAUAUACUACUGGAAGAACAAGCCAAAGCAGUUCAGCAGAAAGAAGUAAAUGCUGAGUUCAAUAUGGAAAUGGACAAUUCAGGGCUGAACAUGGAACUUGAAGAUCUAGCAAAGAUAAAAAAAAUUCUUCUUCAGCUGGAAAGUGCUAUUGAUGAAGUGGAGUUGCCACCAAAUAAAAAUGGAGUCACCAAAAAUGGAAGCUACAUCUUUGAUCUGUUUGCGAAGGCCCAAAUAACAUUCCAGACCAAAUCCUCACUCCUGGAGUCACUAGAGCAGAUUUUACAGUUUCUUUCAAGCCGUACUGGGGUAUUUGUCAAUACAUCUGGACUGCAUAAACUUUCAGAUAUUAUCCAGAUAGUAUUCAACAUCGAUCCUCCAGAGGGCACAACAAGUUUUGUGCCACCUCAGUCGAUAUCCAGAUACUAUAAGGUACACAUUCAUCUGGAAAACGGUAAUCAGAAGAAGCAAAAGACAAAUGUCUGGGAUUCAUCAGCUGCAAAAAAACAAGGAAAGACCUUAAGCUAUUGGUGUUUCAGUCCUGGAUAUAGCAUGCAUGAUCUUGUUCGACAAGGAGUCAGGACGAUUAUCCUUACUAGUGGGACUCUCUCUCCACUCUCAUCAUUUACAAUGGAAAUGCAGAUCCCUUUUCCUGUUAGCUUGGAGAAUCCUCAUGUUAUUGAUAAACACCAGCUCUGGGUUGGAAUCAUUCCCAAAGGACCUGAUGGAGCUGUGCUCACUUCUACCUAUGAAAGGAGGUUUUCAGAGGACUAUUUAUCUUCUUUGGGGAAAACAAUUGGUAAUCUUGUGCGAGUUGUACCUCAUGGACUGUUGGUGUUCUUCCCAUCGUAUCCUGUCAUGGAUAAGAGCUUGGAAUAUUGGAGAGAGCAUGAUUUUGCUAAAAGAAUAGAAGAAGUGAAGCCAAUAUUUGUGGAACCCAAGUAUAAAGGAAGCUUUGCAGUGGUAAUGGAUGCAUACUAUGAUAAAAUUGUCUGUCCUAAGUCCAACGGAGCUGCUUUUUUUGCAGUAUGUCGGGGAAAGGCCAGUGAAGGCUUGGACUUCGCAGACAUAAAUGGACGAGGAGUCAUCAUUACUGGGCUUCCAUUUCCUCCUUGUAUGGAGCCCAGAGUUGUUUUAAAGAUGCAGUUCCUGGAUGAAAUGAAAAGAAGCUGUGUGGGUGCACAGUAUUUAUCUGGGCGUGAGUGGUACAAUCAGCAAGCUUCCCGGGCUGUUAAUCAGGCUAUCGGCAGGGUCAUCAGACAUCGCCAGGACUAUGGUGCUAUUUUCCUGUGUGACCACAGGUUCACAACCAGCGAUGUAAGAGGCAAGCUGCCUUCAUGGGUCCGCCCUUAUGUGAAUGUUUAUGACAACUUUGGGCAUGCAGUCAGAAGUGUCUCCACGUUCUUCCGUGUUGCUCAAGAAAUUAUGCCCCCACCCCAGCCACAAUGCCUUUCUGGCUCUGCUGAUUUUCGCAAUGAAAAUGAUCUGGCACCAUCUACUUCAUCAGAGCAGAUCCUCUCCCUGGCAAAAGCCAAAAAUUUGGAUGACCAUGUUCCCAGUUUGAAGAGGAAAAGAAUAGUAAUGCCAGUAAGUGGAGAUGGAGCGUCUAACCUGUGCAUGGAAUAUGAAGAAAAACUGUUCUCACCUAGAAAACAACGUCUUGGGCUCUUGGAUGCCUUGGAGCGCAACGAGAAGAGCAGUGAAGCUGCAGAGGAGGAAUGUGGCUUGCCAGGAGAGGAAGAGGCCCAGCGUCUGUCAACACUCUCCCUACAGUAUGAGAAGAGGUUAACAGAUGAGCAAAAAGGAGGAAGGAAGAAAAUAAAGCUAGUCAGCAAUCCAGAACCUGGUAAGAUAGCAGACCCAACUGAGCCAAAGAAAGCCAGAGCUACGUCGUACAUUGCAACAGUGAAGCAGACCCUAAGCCAACAAAGCUAUGAUCUCUUCUCUAAGGCUCUUCAGCACUACAAGAAGACGGAUGACUUCAAUGCUAUGUUGUCUCAAAUGACUUCCCUUUUUAUUGAGGAUGAAAAAAAACACAUCUUGUUACGAGAAUUUUACCAGUUUGUUCGACCUCAACAUAAAAAACAGUUUGAUGAAGCAUGUUGCAAUCUGACUGGAGUGGGCUGUGGCUACAAACCUGAACACAGCCUCCUGCAGGAAGAGAGAGAGAGACUGGCAAAGAAAAUAGAAGGAAAAAAGAGUCAGCAGAAAACAACAUUCUCAAAGGACACAUACACGCAGCUGAACCCUGGACUCCACUUGAACCAGGGAGGAUUUCACUUGACAACAGGACUGACUAGUGCAGGGGAUAAUGCUGGUCAAGCUCCAAGUAAAGAUCCUGAGAAAGCUUCAGGCUCUAGGAAAGAUCACCUCCAGGUCCUCAGGACUACCUAUCUCAACGAUGUGAAAAAGACUUUGGACAAAAGCACUUUCAGCCAUUUCUAUGAAGCGCUGUUAACUUACAAGAAGACAGACGACUAUGAUGCUAUGAUACCAGUGAUAGCAGCCCUCACCACUGAGAGGCCAGAAGACUUUCAUCUCCUACGAAGGUUUUACAUGUUUGUGCGCCCUCAUCACAAAGAGCAGUUCAAACAGAUGUGUAAAGAUUUGACUGGAACGGUCUGUGGUGGGAAAGAGAAGCAAUUGCAACACACAGUGCAAGGUGAAAGCAGCCCUCCGAGUUUGGAGAAGUGGUGCACCAAGGCAGAAAACAGCCAUGUACAAGAUGCAGCUGUUCCGAAGAGUGAGGUGCCAGAGAAAACUCAGAGAGAGAUUGCCUCCUUCUGCUUUAACCAGGAAGAUAAACUUGAAUUGCCAAAGACUGAAGAAGAUUCAAAAGAAACCAGUAAUGUGAGAGCACCCACGUGCUCUGAAGUUGUACCUCUCUUUCCCCUAGAGAUGGAACCAGAGUGUGGAAGAUACCAGUGCUCUGCCUGCAAAUCUGAGGAUGACGUGCCUUUUAAAUGUCCAUUCUGUGCCUUCACUCGCUGCAAAACAUGUUGGGAGCAGUUCUUAAAGUUUUCUGAGAAAGACUAUCAGCAGCUGCUGCUUCAUGAACAACAUACUGUCCUUCAGAAAAGAUUCCAAUUGUAGCAAGAAUCGUGCCAAGGAUUUUACUAGCAUGCGUUUUUAAUCUUUGCUGCUCAAGACUCAAGCUGGCAGAGGAGCAGAAUGAGAUCCCUGGGGAGUUUGUAGGUUAGAUGAAGAGGUGCCCGCAAUGCCUGAGUGAUGUGAAGAAGAAGCGAUUAACCCAAGCUUUCUUCUGGUUAUAAUCUCACCAACAGAAAGGGCAAGUACUUCUCAGCAGGAAUAAAUGACCGGACUCUGAGUCUGAAGCCGAAAGCAAGCUGGAUGAAGGUUCUUUUAAAUAUGUUUGAUCCCGAAGUCUGGAUUACAGGCUGCGCACCAAGAUGUGUAAUAUUUUCCUACAGUCUGAUCAAGUCUGAAAGUUCUCCAUCUCUCUUACCACUGGCAGAAGACAAAGCAGUAUUGUCCUCUGCUGGAACUAAGAUGGUAAAUAAUGUAUUUUAGCCUGUAAAUUCUAUCGUGUCUUCUCUUAGACCAAAUUUUAUGUCUUGGAGGAGGCUGUCAUCAGUUGGCCCCUUCAGGUAAUACCAAUUCCUGGAAAAAACCUACAAGAGUACUACAGCGGAAUUGAGCUGGCUACAUUACCAGGCCAGAGGCCAGACUACCCAGACUUACCACAGUGGCGUUCCUAGAAGUGAUUCACAUUCUGUUGGUGUUCAUCAGCAGCUGCUGUCUCCCAAUAGCAGAAAAUACAGAAAGGAAGAUUUUGUUUUAAAACAAAUUCCAGUGGUUGGAUAGUCAACAGAGAUGCUCCGCUGUGCCCGCAGUGCACCCAAAGCCCGACUUCCUUCCAUAGUGCUGGAAUUUUUGGAAAUAUGCUUCUACGGAGGUUUUGUUUUAUGCUUAGUACUGAUACUCGUGUCAGGCCUGUGUUAUUUGACCUUUACCUUCCAAGAAGAAAAAUGAACUACCUGGUUUUAAUCUUCAAAAUAAAUUAAGUUGGAUGAGAAAAAAAAUCCUUGAUACUUCCACUCUCUGUGAGUAGUGGGAAUAAGUAGGUAACUUUUUUUAAAAAAUGUAUCAGUAGCUUCUUUUAAUUAAACUAUAAAUAAAACCAUUUUCAUGUC